GCUGGAAGGGUGAAUACCUGCUCCAUCAGCUCCUAUAACCUGACUAGUUUUGUGGAGAACCUUGGAGGGUUUGGGCUUGGAAGACACUUAGGAUGUUUCCCUGCAGUGCUGUGGACAAUUUGGUUGUGACAACUUGGCUAAGGAAAUGAGAUAAAAAAAGGAGCAGAGACUUAACCUGAAUAGUGACAAAAAGAGAACACAGGACAAAAGAAAGAAACCAAUCCAGUAAAAUAACGAACCUAAAUAUCAGAGAUGUGAUUAAGGCCAUAAAUCUAGACACCAAGCAAGCCGUGUUAUCAGCUUAAAUGAGCAAGCAACUAAUAACACUUCCUGGCCUUGGACAUUGAAGGAACUCCUUCCCUGUCUCUGGAUAGAAGUGCCUCUAUUCCUGUAUUUCCCAACUGAUUGCUCUACCUGGAUGCCUGUGAUUGUGUUCAUCAGACAAAAAGACUUAAGGGAAGCAGUUUGUACUGUAAGGCUGGUCUUUAGGGGAGUCAGCCCAAAGAGACAGGCUCAACCACCUCUGAAAGUCAGAACUUUUCUUACUCUUGCUGUCUGCUGCUAAAUACUUUGAACUUAAGAAAGCUAGCAUUAGCAUAGACAAGAAUAAAAGAAACCCUCCACUAGCCUGUGAGGCCUGA
RNAcentral lists this long non-coding RNA (641 nucleotides) under Monodelphis domestica (gray short-tailed opossum). Its description in RNAcentral is "lncRNA (ENSMODG00000039551.1)". The record is from RNAcentral. Lineage: Eukaryota; Metazoa; Chordata; Mammalia; Didelphimorphia; Didelphidae.